UUAAUAAUUUAUAUAUAAUAUUUUAUGAUAUUUAUAUAAUAUUAACAUAAUUCAUAUUACUAUUAUUAUUAGUAUAUGAAAUUUUACUUUGAGAAAAUUAGAGUGCUUAAAGCAGGCUUUUGCCUUGAAUACUCCAGCAUGGAAUAAUAUAAAAGAUUUUUAUCUUUUUUAUUGGUUCUAAGAUAAAAAUAAUGAUUAGUAGGGACAGUUGGGGGCAUUUGUAUUUAACAGUCAGAGGUGAAAUUCUUAGAUUUGUUAAAGACAAACUAGUGCGAAAGCAUUUGCCAAGGAUGUUUUCAUUAAUCAAGAACGAAAGUUAGGGGAUCGAAGACGAUCAGAUACCGUCGUAGUCUUAACCAUAAACUAUGCCAACUAGAGAUUGGAGGUUGUU
RNAcentral lists this ribosomal RNA (391 nucleotides) under Cryptosporidium parvum. RNAcentral's name for it is "SSU rRNA". It matches the Rfam family "Eukaryotic small subunit ribosomal RNA", at positions 669 to 1064 of the family's 1831-position model. The record is from RNAcentral. Lineage: Eukaryota; Apicomplexa; Conoidasida; Eucoccidiorida; Cryptosporidiidae.